This 1486-nucleotide ribosomal RNA is filed under the name Lactiplantibacillus plantarum. RNAcentral's name for it is "bacterial SSU rRNA". It matches the Rfam family "Bacterial small subunit ribosomal RNA". Lineage: Bacteria; Bacillati; Bacillota; Bacilli; Lactobacillales; Lactobacillaceae. The record is from RNAcentral.
GACGAACGCUGGCGGCGUGCCUAAUACAUGCAAGUCGAACGAACUCUGGUAUUGAUUGGUGCUUGCAUCAUGAUUUACAUUUGAGUGAGUGGCGAACUGGUGAGUAACACGUGGGAAACCUGCCCAGAAGCGGGGGAUAACACCUGGAAACAGAUGCUAAUACCGCAUAACAACUUGGACCGCAUGGUCCGAGUUUGAAAGAUGGCUUCGGCUAUCACUUUUGGAUGGUCCCGCGGCGUAUUAGCUAGAUGGUGAGGUAACGGCUCACCAUGGCAAUGAUACGUAGCCGACCUGAGAGGGUAAUCGGCCACAUUGGGACUGAGACACGGCCCAAACUCCUACGGGAGGCAGCAGUAGGGAAUCUUCCACAAUGGACGAAAGUCUGAUGGAGCAACGCCGCGUGAGUGAAGAAGGGUUUCGGCUCGUAAAACUCUGUUGUUAAAGAAGAACAUAUCUGAGAGUAACUGUUCAGGUAUUGACGGUAUUUAACCAGAAAGCCACGGCUAACUACGUGCCAGCAGCCGCGGUAAUACGUAGGUGGCAAGCGUUGUCCGGAUUUAUUGGGCGUAAAGCGAGCGCAGGCGGUUUUUUAAGUCUGAUGUGAAAGCCUUCGGCUCAACCGAAGAAGUGCAUCGGAAACUGGGGAACUUGAGUGCAGAAGAGGACAGUGGAACUCCAUGUGUAGCGGUGAAAUGCGUAGAUAUAUGGAAGAACACCAGUGGCGAAGGCGGCUGUCUGGUCUGUAACUGACGCUGAGGCUCGAAAGUAUGGGUAGCAAACAGGAUUAGAUACCCUGGUAGUCCAUACCGUAAACGAUGAAUGCUAAGUGUUGGAGGGUUUCCGCCCUUCAGUGCUGCAGCUAACGCAUUAAGCAUUCCGCCUGGGGAGUACGGCCGCAAGGCUGAACUCAAAGGAAUUGACGGGGGCCCGCACAAGCGGUGGAGCAUGUGGUUUAAUUCGAAGCUACGCGAAGAACCUUACCAGGUCUUGACAUACUAUGCAAAUCUAAGAGAUUAGACGUUCCCUUCGGGGACAUGGAUACAGGUGGUGCAUGGUUGUCGUCAGCUCGUGUCGUGAGAUGUUGGGUUAAGUCCCGCAACGAGCGCAACCCUUAUUAUCAGUUGCCAGCAUUAAGUUGGGCACUCUGGGAGACUGCCGGUGACAAACCGGAGGAAGGUGGGGAUGACGUCAAAUCAUCAUGCCCCUUAUGACCUGGGCUACACACGUGCUACAAUGGAUGGUACAACGAGUUGCGAACUCGCGGAGUAAGCUAAUCUCUUAAAGCCAUUCUCAGUUCGGAUUGUAGGCUGCAACUCGCCUACAUGAAGUCGGAAUCGCUAGUAAUCGCGGAUCAGCAUGCCGCGGUGAAUACGUUCCCGGGCCUUGUACACACCGCCCGUCACACCAUGAGAGUUUGUAACACCCAAAGUCGGUGGGGUAACCUUUUAGGAACCAGCCGCCUAAGGUGGGACAGAUGAUUAGGGUG